Long non-coding RNA from Haplochromis burtoni (Burton's mouthbrooder), 898 nucleotides. RefSeq lists it as uncharacterized. The transcript is spliced from 3 exons. NCBI's taxonomy places the organism in Eukaryota, Metazoa, Chordata, Actinopteri, Cichliformes, Cichlidae. The record is from RefSeq and is a predicted model, not a curated record.
UUAAUAUUUAAAAGUCUACCUAAUAAUUAUUUAAAAUAAUAAAUAUUUUUAUACAAUACACGUAACUGCCUCCCAGUUUGUCGGUGGUAAAAUUCUGAGUCUUUUAGUCUUAUAUGCGGGUGCCUUGGUGUCAUACAGUCUUUGGGAAGUAAAUAAAUUACUUCCUAAUGCCAACCUUUGAAGUGCGAAUAGGCGUCUCCUGAACCAGUCACCCAAUCAGCUUUCUCGGGUCUCUAAGACAAAGAAGAAGACUUAUUUGGUCCUCAGUCAAGUAAAGGACAAAGCUGCAGCACACGGGGUCAAAAUACCUACAUCUCUAUAAGCAGGAUAACGACAACGGGAUAGGUGAAGAUGGCGCAAUCAAUUUUUUGGCUGCUGUUUGUUUCGUGUAGAAUCAAUCCUGGAUACGCUUGGUAAGACAUGUAUACACUAGUUGCAUGCAUGCUUUAAAAUAAGUGAACAGAAGACAGAAUUAUAUGACUUUUAUUAUUAUUAUUAUCAUUAUUAUUAUUGUUCUCAGGGUCGCAAGCAAUUUUCUGAUGACGGGGUCAAAGGACUAUCUCACCUACGCAAAGAGCGUGCAGGUGGGCACACAGAUUGGCGUCCAGGAGUGCAAACGCCAGUUUGCCUGGGAUAGAUGGAACUGCCCCGACAGCGCAACCCAGCUUAAAGGACUGAAACGAGCCACCAGAGAAACGGCUUUCGUUCAUGCUAUCAGUUCAGCAGGGGUCAUGUACACUCUGACCAGGAACUGCAGUCUUGGUGAACUCGAAAACUGUGGCUGCGAUGGUUCAAAGAACGGAAAGCUUGGUGAGUCAACGUACAGCGCCAUUUGUCAACAUGCAAGUUCUUAAUUAAUGAUCUUUAAGUAUUCAAAACUGUGUCGUGCAGGCGGUCG